UACGUAGGUGGCAAGCGUUGUCCGGAUUUACUGGGCGUAAAGAGCGCGCAGGCGGAUUGCUAAGUCGGGGGUGAAAUCCCGGGGCUCAACCUCGGAAUUGCCUUCGAUACUGUCUGUCUUGAGUCCGGGAGAGGUGAGUGGAAUUCCUAGUGUAGAGGUGAAAUUCGUAGAUAUUAGGAAGAACACCAGUGGCGAAGGCGGCUCACUGGCCCGGUACUGACGCUCAUGUGCGAAAGCGUGGGGAGCAAACAGG
Molecule: ribosomal RNA, 253 nt
Filed under: uncultured bacterium
Lineage: Bacteria
Description: partial 16S ribosomal RNA
Rfam family: Bacterial small subunit ribosomal RNA
Source: RNAcentral